RNAcentral lists this ribosomal RNA (253 nucleotides) under uncultured bacterium. RNAcentral describes it as "partial 16S ribosomal RNA". It matches the Rfam family "Bacterial small subunit ribosomal RNA", at positions 524 to 776 of the family's 1533-position model. The record is from RNAcentral.
UACGGAGGGAGCUAGCGUUGUUCGGAAUUACUGGGCGUAAAGCGCGCGUAGGCGGCUUUGUAAGUUAGAGGUGAAAGCCCGGAGCUCAACUCCGGAACUGCCUUUAAGACUGCAUCGCUUGAAUCCAGGAGAGGUGAGUGGAAUUCCGAGUGUAGAGGUGAAAUUCGUAGAUAUUCGGAAGAACACCAGUGGCGAAGGCGGCUCACUGGACUGGUAUUGACGCUGAGGUGCGAAAGCGUGGGGAGCAAACAGG